RNAcentral lists this ribosomal RNA (301 nucleotides) under uncultured bacterium. RNAcentral describes it as "partial 16S ribosomal RNA". It matches the Rfam family "Bacterial small subunit ribosomal RNA", at positions 509 to 807 of the family's 1533-position model. The record is from RNAcentral.
CAGUCGCCACGGUAAUACGGAGGGUGCAAGCGUUAAUCGGAAUUACUGGGCGUAAAGUGCACGCAGGCGGUUUGUUAAGUCAGAUGUGAAAUCCCCGAGCUUAACUUGGGAACUGCAUUUGAAACUGGCAAGCUAGAGUCUUGUAGAGGGGGGUAGAAUUCCAGGUGUAGCGGUGAAAUGCGUAGAGAUCUGGAGGAAUACCGGUGGCGAAGGCGGCCCCCUGGACAAAGACUGACGCUCAGGUGCGAAAGCGUGGGGAGCAAACAGGAUUAGAGACCCGUGUAGUCCCUGUCUCUUAUAC